This 523-nucleotide ribosomal RNA is filed under the name Wormaldia moesta. Its description in RNAcentral is "bacterial SSU rRNA". It matches the Rfam family "Eukaryotic small subunit ribosomal RNA", at positions 629 to 1132 of the family's 1831-position model. The record is from RNAcentral. Lineage: Eukaryota; Metazoa; Arthropoda; Insecta; Trichoptera; Philopotamidae.
CGUAGUUGAAAUUGUGUUCCGCGGCAUCUGUCUGCCUUUGCGGUAUGACGGGUGUGUCUGCGGGAUUUCUCGCCGGUGCGUGUUCUUGCCCUUGACCUUGCACUUGUGUAGGGGUGGGGGCGGGCCCUCGCGGCUGUUUACCUUGAACAAAUUAGAGUGCUCAAAGCGGGCUUAUAUUUGCCUGAAUAUUGUGCGCAUGGAAUAAUAGAAUAGGACCUCGGUUCUGUUUUGUUGGCUUUCUGAUACCGGAGGUAAUGAUUAAUAGGAAUAAUUGGGGGCAUUCGUAUUGCGACGUUAGAGGUGAAAUUCUUGGAUCGUCGCAAGACGGACUAAAGCGAAAGCAUUUGCCAAAAGUGUUUUCAUUAAUCAAGAACGAAAGUUAGAGGUUCGAAGGCGAUUAGAUACCGCUGUAGUUCUAACCAUAAAUGUUGCCAGCCAGCGAUCCGCCGUAGUUUCUUUAUUUUGACUCGGUGGGCAGCUCCCGGGAAACCAAAGCUUUCGGGCUCCGGGGGAGUAUGGUUGC